RNAcentral lists this ribosomal RNA (253 nucleotides) under uncultured bacterium. RNAcentral's name for it is "partial 16S ribosomal RNA". It matches the Rfam family "Bacterial small subunit ribosomal RNA", at positions 524 to 776 of the family's 1533-position model. The record is from RNAcentral.
CACGGGGGGAGCAAGCGUUGUUCGGAAUCACUGGGCGUAAAGGGCGUGUAGGCGGUCAGGUAAGUGAGAUGUGAAAUGCCCCGGCUCACCCGGGGACCGGCAUCUCAUACUGCUUGGCUUGAGUACGGGAGAGGAUGUGGGAAUUCCUGGUGUAGCGGUGAAAUGCGUAGAUAUCAGGAGGAACACCGGUGGCGAAGGCGCACAUCUGGCCCGAUACUGACGCUGAGGCGCGAAAGCUAGGGGAGCGAACAGG